GAGAGCAUGAAAGGGUUUCAUUAUCAAAAUGUGGGAAGGCUGUGGGCCCAAGCCCUCAAUCCUUUAAGUACCUAGCAACAUCUUUGUAAGCAAGAGAGGAAGAGUGAUAGGGUUUUCCAUGCAAAAGCUCGUAUUAGCAGGCCUGAACCAGGAUACAGCCAGCCCAGCCUGUCAUUCAAGAGACCAGCGGGAGACUUGAAGGAGGCCCCAUGGUUCUCCGCUGCUUCCAUCACAACCUCUUCUAAAAGCCCCAUGUGGUGAAACUUAAAUUCUGCAACAACAACAAAAAGAAGAAGAAGAAGAAGGCGACUAACAAUUUCCAGAUCAUGGUGGGAAAAUACUCAUCUAGCCACAUGAAGGAACAUUAAGAAAUGAAAUUUACCACAGGAGAGUGCUGGAGAAGCUGGAAAGAGAACAAAGUUUGCUGCCUCCACUGGCCUGAGCCUCAGCUUCUCAAGAGCUGCUUCCAAACAGAGUUAAAAGUUCAUCAACAUUUAUUUGUAUGCAAUUCUACAUAGAAACUGGAAAACAAACUCUCUUUUAAUCCAUCCAAAUAAACAGGCUGGCUGCAAUGCAGACCAUGGAAUCACCAGUGCUUCUCACAAAAGACAAGCAGCUCCAUUAUUUGUACAGCCUUCAGGGACCUACUUCCAAGAUAUAUGGAGCACUUCUAGGUGCAGGGGAGAUUGGCAAAAAUCUUUCCCAAAAAUGCAUGCACUGCCUUAGUGCAGAACACAACAACAGCACCUGCACUGCACCCAUACUUCGUUGGAAAUCUUUGGAAGUUAGUCUACAUGUCAGCCCCACCUUUUUUAGUCCACUAACUACAAUGAUUUUGUCCAAAUGGAUUUUUGCAUAGAAUCAUGAACUUUGCAUUAAAUAUCACUGACUGGCA
Molecule: long non-coding RNA, 895 nt
Organism: Hemicordylus capensis (graceful crag lizard)
Lineage: Eukaryota; Metazoa; Chordata; Lepidosauria; Squamata; Cordylidae
Exons: 4
Source: RefSeq, a predicted model, not a curated record